UGGGGAAUAUUGGACAAUGGGCGAAAGCCUGAUCCAGCCAUGCCGCGUGUGUGAAGAAGGUCUUCGGAUUGUAAAGCACUUUAAGUUGGGAGGAAGGGCAGUUACCUAAUACGUAUCUGUUUUGACGUUACCGACAGAAUAAGCACCGGCUAACUCUGUGCCAGCAGCCGCGGUAAUACAGAGGGUGCAAGCGUUAAUCGGAAUUACUGGGCGUAAAGCGCGCGUAGGUGGUUUGUUAAGUUGGAUGUGAAAUCCCCGGGCUCAACCUGGGAACUGCAUUCAAAACUGACAAGCUAGAGUAUGGUAGAGGGUGGUGGAAUUUCCUGUGUAGCGGUGAAAUGCGUAGAUAUAGGAAGGAACACCAGUGGCGAAGGCGACCACCUGGACUGAUACUGACACUGAGGUGCGAAAGCGUGGGGAGCAAACAGGAUUAGAUACCCUCGUAGUGCCUGAGCGGGC
Molecule: ribosomal RNA, 459 nt
Filed under: uncultured bacterium
Lineage: Bacteria
Description: bacterial SSU rRNA
Rfam family: Bacterial small subunit ribosomal RNA
Source: RNAcentral